This 77-nucleotide transfer RNA is filed under the name Arthrobacter nanjingensis. RNAcentral's name for it is "tRNA-Ile". It matches the Rfam family "tRNA". From Rfam's summary of the family: Transfer RNA (tRNA) molecules are approximately 80 nucleotides in length. RNAcentral also lists the same sequence under 3 other names. Lineage: Bacteria; Bacillati; Actinomycetota; Actinomycetes; Micrococcales; Micrococcaceae. The record is from RNAcentral.
GGGGGUAUAGCUCAGCCGGUUAGAGCAGGGGACUCAUAAUCCCUUGGUCCUGGGUUCAAGUCCCAGUGCCCCUACCA